Long non-coding RNA from Esox lucius (northern pike), 385 nucleotides. The record is from Ensembl. NCBI's taxonomy places the organism in Eukaryota, Metazoa, Chordata, Actinopteri, Esociformes, Esocidae.
CUUUCAUAUAGCCACCAUACACAGCUUCUGUUCUUUAGCAGUGAUGUCAUGGAGUAUCAAUGAGGACUUCCGUCUGCUUGUGGAUCUUGAGUUAAUACAAUUCUACAUGCUCUGCAAUUGGGACAAUACCUCUGCCUCUCCCGAGUCCUAUUGUGGGAAAAACAGUGGAGCCACUUUGGCAACGAUACAUACAAUUUUUAGGAGAAACAUAUUAAUAAAGAGGAUCGUGACACGUUCAAGUCUAGGACUAAAGGCGAAGGCAAUUCCAUCACGUUACCCAGUGAACCCGUGGAGACAAGACCGAUUGAGCUAAUGGAGAAAACAAGACACCUCUUAAUGAAGAUUCUAUUUCAAGACAGAACUAAGAAGAUGGAUAAUGAGGCAG